This 1295-nucleotide long non-coding RNA is filed under the name Calidris pugnax (ruff). Its description in RNAcentral is "lncRNA (ENSCPUG00000007540.1)". Lineage: Eukaryota; Metazoa; Chordata; Aves; Charadriiformes; Scolopacidae. The record is from RNAcentral.
AUGCAAAAGAGAGAAUUCAGCACCUGUGGCAAUGAACAAAGCCGGUCCCUGUUAUCAGCUUGGACUGGUGCCACCAGCAGAGACAAAUCCGCUGUUUCCAAUGUGCCACUGCAGUUCAAGCUGUUUGGACCUGAUCUGGGAGGACGAUGCUGGGAUUAUCAUCACAACGGGCUUGGGAAGCAGGGCUCCCUUCCUGAAAUUCACUGUAGUCUUUGCAAUAAAAUGAAUCCGAUUGUAUCCUCCAAUUCCCCUUUUUUUUUGCAGGGGAAGAACACACAUGAUACGAUCAAAUUCUCUUUUCUGGCAUCUCUUGUACCAACAAGCAUUGUCCUACCAGCGCUUCCCAGGGUACUGAUAAAAAUCCAGACUUAAUUACUUGCCCUCCAUUACUGGGUGGAACCCUCAACCUCUUCAUACCCACAGUACGAAUUUUCAUCGAGCAGGAAUGUGCUGGCCAUUUACUGAAGUGGUGAACUGAGGAGUUCAGAGCACAACGGAGGUUUCCUAAGCGGAGGAAGAUAAGGCAAAGGAGCUCUCAUUCUUCCAAGGCACAGAUUUUUAUCAUAUCCCAAAAGCAAGCAGCUGAAGAUUCCAGUCACGAAGGACUGUGCUUUGAGAACGGGUUGGACUGCCUGCCCUUUCCUCCAGGACUGACUACCGGAUCCCAUUCAGGAUGAAAACAAGUUCUUAAACAGGUUAUACCUACUGCUAUGGCUCACUGCCAUUGUCAGAGGCUGAAGGCUUUUACAUACCUAAUUCUCCGUAGGCUCUUCUUGUACGUUCCCUGCAAGGGAGCCAGAACACGUGCAGCAUGCAGCUGUAUUCAGCCAUCAUCUCGGACAAACAUUACCUUAAAAACCCUGAAUGCAAAAAGCACCCCCCCACACUAGGUUGGCUCCAUGUUGAGUGGCAGAGGUAGUAUUUUAUUUUUCGAGCAUCCCUCCUCAAGGACACUAAAGAGUUUGUAAAACAUCACGAAACGAAAACAAAACAUCGGCAACAACAGAAAUGCAAACCUGCUGAAAAGUAAAACACAGCAGCAUUCAAAUAUUGGAAAACAUGAGAGCUAAAGUGCUUGAGAUAAUUUCUUAACUAUGCACAGUCUGAAGUCAGUCUUCCCCAUAUAAAUGCUAUUUUUUUUUAACAGCGCCUGCCUGGCUGCAUAGGUUUCUACACCAGUCUACGGCAGGAUAACACUACUAAGCCAGAGCCAUUACCCAAAAGGGCUAGGAGCAAUCUAUUUCUUUCUCUUCCUCAUACUAAAAGUAAGUUAAUAAAUAACAUUCAGAGAAACA